Molecule: ribosomal RNA, 630 nt
Filed under: uncultured Alphaproteobacteria bacterium
Lineage: Bacteria; Pseudomonadati; Pseudomonadota; Alphaproteobacteria
Description: bacterial SSU rRNA
Rfam family: Bacterial small subunit ribosomal RNA
Source: RNAcentral
AUGCAAGUCGAACGAGAAGCCACCUUCGGGUGGUGGAAAGUGGCAGACGGGUGAGUAACGCGUGGGAACGUGCCUUUCGGUUCGGAAUAACCCAGGGAAACUUGGGCUAAUACCGGAUACGCCCUUCGGGGGAAAGAUUCAUUGCCGAAAGAUCGGCCCGCGUCGGAUUAGCUAGUUGGUAGGGUAAUGGCCUACCAAGGCGACGAUCCGUAGCUGGUCUGAGAGGAUGACCAGCCACACUGGGACUGAGACACGGCCCAGACUCCUACGGGAGGCAGCAGUGGGGAAUAUUGGACAAUGGGCGAAAGCCUGAUCCAGCCAUGCCGCGUGGGUGAAGAAGGCCUUAGGGUUGUAAACCCCUUUCAGCGGGGAAGAUAAUGACGGUACCCGCAGAAGAAGUCCCGGCUAACUCCGUGCCAGCAGCCGCGGUAAUACGGAGGGGACUAGCGUUGUUCGGAAUUACUGGGCGUAAAGCGCACGUAGGCGGAUUGUUAAGUCAGGGGUGAAAUCCCGAGGCUCAACCUCGGAACUGCCUUUGAUACUGGCAAUCUCGAGUCCGGAAGAGGUGAGUGGAAUUCCUAGUGUAGAGGUGAAAUUCGUAGAUAUUAGGAAGAACACCAGUGGCGAAGG